CUACGGGAGGCUGCAGUGGGGAAUAUUGGACAAUGGGGGAAACCCUGAUCCAGCAAUGCCGCGUGUGUGAAGAAGGCCUGCGGGUUGUAAAGCACUUUCGGUUGGGAGGACUGCUUCUAGCACUAAUAUUGUUGGAAGUUGACGUUACCUUCAGAAGAAGCACCGGCUAACUCCGUGCCAGCAGCCGCGGUAAUACGGAGGGUGCAAGGCGUUAAUCGGAAUUACUGGGCGUAAAGCGCGCGUAGGCGGCUAGAUCAGUCGGGUGUGAAAGCCCCGGGCUUAACCUGGGAACUGCAUCCGAUACUGUCUAGCUUGAGUACAGGAGAGGAGAGUGGAAUUCCACAUGUAGCGGUGAAAUGCGUAGAUAUGUGGAGGAACACCAAUGGCGAAGGCAGCUCUCUGGCCUGAUGCUGACGCUGAGGUGCGAAAGCGUGGGGAGCAAACAGGAUUAGAUACCCCUGUAGUC
This 466-nucleotide ribosomal RNA is filed under the name uncultured bacterium. RNAcentral describes it as "partial 16S ribosomal RNA". It matches the Rfam family "Bacterial small subunit ribosomal RNA", at positions 339 to 795 of the family's 1533-position model. The record is from RNAcentral.